This 418-nucleotide ribosomal RNA is filed under the name uncultured bacterium. Its description in RNAcentral is "bacterial SSU rRNA". It matches the Rfam family "Bacterial small subunit ribosomal RNA", at positions 358 to 774 of the family's 1533-position model. The record is from RNAcentral.
GGAAUAUUGGUCAAUGGGCGAGAGCCUGAACCAGCCAUCCCGCGUGCAGGAUGAAGGUCUUACAGAUUGUAAACUGCUUUUGCUGGGGACGAAUAAGGGUCACGUGUGGCCCGAUGACAGUACUCAGUGAAUAAGCAUCGGCUAACUCCGUGCCAGCAGCCGCGGUAAUACGGAGGAUGCGAGCGUUAUCCGGAUUUAUUAGGUUUAAAGGGUGCGUAGGCGGGGCUUUAAGUCAGCGGUAAAAUCAUGCAGCUUAACUGCAUCAAGCCAUUGAUACUGGAGUUCUUGAGUACGGUUGAGGCUGGCGGAAUGUGUUGUGUAGCGGUGAAAUGCUUAGAUAUGACACAGAACACCGAUUGCGAAGGCAGCUAGCUAAGCCGGCACUGACGCUGAGGCACGAAAGCGUGGGGAUCAAACA